Molecule: ribosomal RNA, 253 nt
Filed under: uncultured bacterium
Lineage: Bacteria
Description: partial 16S ribosomal RNA
Rfam family: Bacterial small subunit ribosomal RNA
Source: RNAcentral
UACGAAGGGGGCAAGCGUUGUUCGGAAUUACUGGGCGUAAAGCGUACGUAGGCGGAUUGUUAAGUCAGGGGUGAAAUCCCGGGGCUCAACCCCGGAACUGCCUUUGAUACUGGCAAUCUUGAGUCCGAGAGAGGUGAGUGGAAUUCCUAGUGUAGAGGUGAAAUUCGUAGAUAUUAGGAAGGACACCAGUGGCGAAGGCGGCUCACUGGCUCGGAACUGACGCUGAGGUACGAAAGCGUGGGGAGCAAACAGG